CGGUUGAUCCUGCCGGAGGUCGCUGCUAUUAGGAUUCGACUUAGCCAUGCAAGUCAAGGGGUUUCUUCGGAAACACCGGCAGAACGCUCAGUAACACGUCGAUAAUCUACCCUUAGGUCAGGGAUAACCUCGGAAAACUGAGACUAAUACCUGAUAAGAGAAUUCUCCUGGAAUGGUUUUUCUCAUAAAGAUUACGCCUAAGGACGAGUCGGCGGCCGAUUAGGCUGUUGGUGAGGUAACGUAUUUCUGAAAGAAAUAGUUAAAAUUCUUUCUGAAUUUUAUAAGCUCACCAAACCAACGAUCGGUAGGGGCCUUGAGAGAGGUAGCCUCGAGAAGGGUACUGAGAAACUGACCCUAACCCUACGGGGUGCAGCAGGCGCGAAACCUUUACAAUACACGAAAGUGUGAUAAGGGAAUCCUAAGUGCUUAUGUUUAGCAUAGGCUUUUGCUAAGAAUAAAAAUUUUAGCGAAUAAGUGGUGGGUAAGACUGGUGCCAGCAGCCGCGGUAACACCAGCGCCACGAGUGGCGACCAUAUUUAUUGGGCCUAAAGCGUCCGUAGCCUGUUUAGUAAAUCUUCUGUGAAAUCAUUAGGCUCAACUUAAUGAAAUGCAAAGGACACUGCUAAACUAGGAACCGGGAGGAGUCGGAGGAAUUCUGGGGGGCGCGGUAAAAUGCGAUAAUCCUCGGAGGACCACCUGUGGCGAANGCGUCCGACUAGAACGGGUUCGACGGUGAGGGACGAAAGCUAGGGGAGCAAACCGGAUUAGAUACCCGAGUAGUCCUAGCUGUAAACGUUGUGAGUUNNUGUU
This 810-nucleotide ribosomal RNA is filed under the name uncultured archaeon. RNAcentral's name for it is "bacterial SSU rRNA". It matches the Rfam family "Archaeal small subunit ribosomal RNA", at positions 5 to 774 of the family's 1478-position model. The record is from RNAcentral.